ACAAUGACUUCCAGCUGGAGCGGCCCAGCCAGCCCGCGCGUUCGCUGCUCGCGCUGGGCUUAAGAGCGCGGGGCUGCGUUCUGGAUUAAGUCCACAAGUGAGAGCUGAGGGCAGUGCUCCCAUGGAUAGGCUAAAUCUGCAUUGUUGAAGCACUCAUCUGUAGGAUGAAUGAGCCCUGAAGGAUUUGAGGACCCACAGAAUAUCUGUAGAAGUUGACAGAGGGACUGAUCCUCAUGGAGUAGUAAUGAGUCAGCCAGCUUGCCGAGAGGUAGAAGUAUCCUUGGUAGA
This is a long non-coding RNA of Suricata suricatta (meerkat), 288 nucleotides long. RefSeq lists it as uncharacterized. The transcript has 3 exons. Lineage: Eukaryota; Metazoa; Chordata; Mammalia; Carnivora; Herpestidae. The record is from RefSeq and is a predicted model, not a curated record.